Bos taurus (domestic cattle) is the source of this 73-nucleotide non-coding RNA. NCBI's taxonomy places the organism in Eukaryota, Metazoa, Chordata, Mammalia, Artiodactyla, Bovidae. The record is from Rfam.
UCCCUGGUGGUCCAGUGGUUAGGACUCCCCACUUUCACUGCCAAGGGCUCAGCUUCAAUCCCUGGUCAGGGAA